This is a long non-coding RNA of Cygnus atratus (black swan), 521 nucleotides long. RefSeq lists it as uncharacterized. The record is from RefSeq and is a predicted model, not a curated record. Lineage: Eukaryota; Metazoa; Chordata; Aves; Anseriformes; Anatidae. The transcript has 5 exons.
UAGUCACGGGAAGACUGGAAACAAUAUUCUUUUGCAGAGCAGGGUGCUCGCAGCCAUGCAGCGUGCCUGCGUGCACGCGUGACUCUGGCAGGAGGAGGAGGACAAACUUUGCUACCUGUGAAACGAAGACUUCGUAGGCAGCAUUGGGAAUGAAAACAAUUCCAUUUACAAUGUUGUUCACAGGCUCCGUAAAUGAGUGCCUUGAUGACUUCAGUGGGAAUUCCUCGUAAACAAGAAGGGGAAAGGAUCAUCUGGAAUCUUCUGAAGGCAGGAGUCAGGGCCAGAAGUCCCCUGAAAGACCUACGCGAGAAGAGAAUCUCACCCGCUGCCUUGUCUCCAGAGACCCUGUCCUACACUGAGGUUCAGCUAAAGGUUGGUGACUGAGAGAGAAGGAACAAACCAGAGUGUUUUACAGCAGCCCAGCUGAACAAAGGGAUCUACCAAUACUGGUGAGGUUCCUUCUGUGAACUGGACAAUGGAAGUUGCCCCCAAUUCAUGGUCACUCUUCCCACUGACGAACA